ACCCGCUGAACUUAAGCAUAUCAAUAAGCGGAGGAAAAGAAACCAACAGGGAUUGCCCUAGUAACGGCGAGUGAAGCGGCAACAGCUCAAAUUUGAAAUCUGGCUCUUUUAGGGUCCGAGUUGUAAUUUGCAGAGGGCGCUUUGGCGUUGGCAGCGGUCCAAGUUCUUUGGAACAGGACGUCACAGAGGGUGAGAAUCCCGUACGUGGUCGCUAUCCUUCGCCGUGUAAAGCCCCUUCGACGAGUCGAGUUGUUUGGGAAUGCAGCUCUAAAUGGGAGGUAAAUUUCUUCUAAAGCUAAAUACUGGCCAGAGACCGAUAGCGCACAAGUAGAGUGAUCGAAAGAUGAAAAGCACUUUGGAAAGAGAGUCAAAUAGCACGUGAAAUUGUUGAAAGGGAAGCGCUUGAGACCAGACUCAGGUAAAGUUGAUCAACCUCCAUUCUUGGUGGUGCACUCUUCUUUGCCCGGGCCAGCAACAGUUUUGGCGGUGGUAUAAAGGUUUAGGGAAUGUGGCUCUCUUCGGGGAGUGUUAUAGCCCUAUUCGUAAUGCUGCCUGUCGAGACUGAGGACCGCGCUUCGGCUAGGUUGUUGGCGUAAUGGUCUU
RNAcentral lists this ribosomal RNA (603 nucleotides) under uncultured fungus. Its description in RNAcentral is "eukaryotic LSU rRNA". It matches the Rfam family "Eukaryotic large subunit ribosomal RNA", at positions 23 to 641 of the family's 3401-position model. Lineage: Eukaryota; Fungi. The record is from RNAcentral.